UACAGAGGGUGCAAGCGUUAAUCGGAGUGACUGGGCGUAAAGGGCGCGUAGGCGGUUAAUUAAGUUUGAUGUGAAAGGCCUGGGCUUAACCUAGGAAUUGCAUUGAAAACUGGUUGACUGGAGUACUGAAGAGGGUAGAGGAAUUUCCGGUGUAGCGGUGAAAUGCGUAGAGAUCGGAAGGAACACCGGUGGCGAAGGCGGCUACCUGGUCAGCUACUGACGCUGAGGCGCGAGAGCGUGGGGAUCAAACAGG
This 253-nucleotide ribosomal RNA is filed under the name uncultured bacterium. Its description in RNAcentral is "partial 16S ribosomal RNA". It matches the Rfam family "Bacterial small subunit ribosomal RNA", at positions 524 to 776 of the family's 1533-position model. The record is from RNAcentral.